RNAcentral lists this long non-coding RNA (5245 nucleotides) under Brassica napus (rape). RNAcentral describes it as "long non-coding RNA (BNAP_LNC011753)". The record is from RNAcentral. Lineage: Eukaryota; Viridiplantae; Streptophyta; Magnoliopsida; Brassicales; Brassicaceae.
UCGGGAAAGGCUCUCGAGGACUGUGCUUUGUUAUCUAGAUUCCUCGUUAUCUCGUUCGCUGACCUUAAGAAGUGGAGUUUCCGUUAUUGGUUUGCGUUCCCUGCACUUGUUCUUGAUCCUCCUGCAAGUUUGGUUGAAUUAAAGCCAGCUUCGGAGUAUUUUACUUCAGAAGAAGCAGAAUCAGUAUCUGCUGCGUGUAAUGAGUGGCGUGACUCAAGUUUAACAACUGGUACUCAACAACAUUCUCGUUCUACUUUGUUUAUUCUUGCUAUUCCCAUUCAACAAGUGGUUGCUGAAAACGUUUGUUACUUCUCUGUGUUAUGGCUAUUAGAUGUUCCAUUCUUUUUGGUUUCGGUUUCGUCUGAUGAUUCAAAAGCUACCAUCACACCUCUUAAAGACUGGGAAGCCUGCCAAGGUGAUCAUCAUAAGGUAUGUGUAAACUAAUCUCUUUCAAAAGCGUUAGAACCAAUUAAAAACUUUACCUUGAUCUACCUCUCUUCCUGCAGUUACUUUUCGGUUUCUAUGACCCGUGUCACCUUCCUAGUAACCCUGGCUGGCCACUUCGGAAUUAUCUAGCACUUAUUCGCUCAAAGUGGAACCUCGAGACUGUUUGGUUCUUCUGCUACAGAGAGAGCCGCGGUUUCGCUGACAUGAGCCUUUCUCUUGUUGGUCAAGCCUCCAUUACACUCUCUUCUGAUUCAUCUGUACCUAACUCAGUGGGAUGGGAGCUUAACAAAGGAAAACGAGCUCCCAGAUCCAUUAGCCUUGCUAACUCCAUGGAUCCAACCAGGUACAUGUUUGCUCUCUGUCAAUGCUUUAGAUAACCAAAUAGAUAAGAUCUGAUUAACGAUCCUUUUCGCAGGUUGGCUGUUUCUGCUUGUGAUUUAAACUUGAAGUUAAUGAGAUGGCGUGCGUUACCGUCUCUAGACUUAAACGUUCUGUCCUCUGUCAAAUGCCUUCUUCUUGGAGCUGGUACAUUGGGUUGCCAAGUUGCUCGUACUCUUAUGGUAAUGCAUCAACGAGAAUGCUGACACUAAACAAUCUUACAAACUCACUUACACCUCUAUCCUUUUCCAUUUAGGGUUGGGGGAUCCGCAACAUAACCUUUGUUGAUUACGGCAAAGUAGCUAUGUCUAAUCCAGUCAGACAAUCUCUCUACACGUUUGAAGACUGUGUUGGUCGUGGCGAGUUCAAAGCCGUUGCUGCUGUUAAAAGCCUUAAACAGAUCUUUCCAGCAGUGGAAUCUAGUGGAGUUGUUAUGGCUAUACCGAUGCCUGGACAUCCCAUCUCUAGCCAAGAAGAAGAAUCUGUUCUCGGUGAUUGCAAACGCCUUCGUGAUUUGAUUGAGUCUCAUGAUGCAGUGUUCUUGUUGACUGAUACAAGAGAAAGCAGGUGGCUACCUUCUCUUCUUUGUGCUAACGCUAAUAAGGUAACAACAUUUAACUCUGAUUCUUUCUUUUCUUGUUUUCUUGUUAUACAAGUAACACAAACUGUUUUGAUUUUGAAUUUUCAGAUUGCUAUAAACGCGGCUUUAGGUUUCGACAGCUACAUGGUAAUGCGCCAUGGUGCUGGCCCCAACUCGUUGUCUGAUGAUAUGCAGAAUCUUGAUAUUAACAAGACAGGAAGACAGAGACUUGGUUGUUAUUUCUGUAACGACGUUGUUGCACCUCAAGAUGUAAUAGUUCUUGGUUUAGACUUUGUUUUAUGUUACCUCAAGCUUUUGCUUGUGGUGAACUUAUUUUUUUGUUUUUACAUUUUGCAGUCAAUGACUGAUCGGACACUGGACCAGCAAUGCACUGUUACACGCCCAGGGCUAGCUCCUAUUGCAGGAGCUUUAGCCGUUGAACUCUUAGUCGGAGUUCUACAACACCCACUUGGGUAAGUCUUUUGAAAGUCUGACUCAGUCCACAGGCUUGUCUUCUUACAUGUGUUUUUCUUUUAUAGUAUCUAUGCAAAAGGAGACAACUCGAGUUCGAGUAAUGGAGGAAACUCCGAUGAAUCACCUCUCGGGAUCUUACCUCAUCAGAUUAGAGGCUCAGUUUCUCAGUUCUCACAGAUCACACUGCUCGGACAAGCCUCCAACAGCUGCACAGCUUGUUCUGAAACUGUAAGUCUCUACAUGAGAUCUUUCUUUACAAAACGUGGCUUGCACGGUUUCUUAUGGAUGUUAAAUUACGCGUGUUUCAGGUGGUGUCAGAGUAUAGAGAAAAAGGAAACAGUUUCAUACUUGAAGCUAUUAACCAUCCUACAUACCUGGAGGAUCUUACCGGUUUAACCGAGCUUAAGAAAGCUGCUAAUUCGUUUAGCCUCGAUUGGGAAGACGAUGAUGAUGACGAUGAAGCUGUAGAUAUGUAAUAAGUCAUUUUCAUUACAGGUUUUAUGAAUCAUAAGAUGGCUCGGAUAUGGUGGUCAUGUUGUAUUCUUGAUAAUCACAAGUGACUUGACCAUCAUUUUCGAAGUUAGUUUAAUAUCAUUCGCUAAUAAACAUGCAGUUAGUUGUCAUUCAUAGCAAGUGUUGAUUCAAGUCUUAUUAUUAUCAAAUAAAAUUAUUUUAUUUCUUUAUCAUGUUGAGUUCUUCCGAUUUAAACAGAUUAAAUUUUUUUCAAACAAUUAUAAUUAGAUGUUCAGUUAUAAAAGAUAACAUGUUGAAAAAUUAAACCAAGAUACACACAAUGUAUAACAUAACAUUGAAUACAAAUAGACUUAUACCACCAAUCUCAAAAAACUUUUAGGCUUUGAAUAUCGAGAAUGAAGAGGAACCCUAAUUAUAAAUGUUUGAAAUAUGUUUUCUUUUUCAUUCUUCUUCGUCCAUUUGUUUGUAGAGAAUUAUAGAAUAAAUCUAUUUCUUAUUAAUUUUGAUAAUGAACUAUCAUUCUUGUCAUUCCUAAAAUUUUAUUCUUAUUCAUUAUUUUCCUAUCCAUUCCUAUUGUUUCUAUGAUGGUUACCAGUCAGACCCUUAUAGUUGGAUCAUUUAUAAAGUAAUAAUAUGUUACAAAAUCAGACCAAGAAACGCACUACAUUGUGAAGAUGAAGCAAUAAGAAACAAGAUGGUUGGUUAAGUUCUCAAGACAAUGGAGAUACCACUACAAGAGACAAGCAUGCAUGGUUGGUUAAGGUCUCAAGACAAUGGAGAUGCCACUACAAGGGACAAGCAUGCAUGGUGGGUUAAGGUCUCAAGACAAAGGAGAUGCCACUACAAGGGACAAGCAUGUAUGGUGGGUUAAAGUCUCAAGACAAUGGAUUAUUAGUUUAUCAUAUCUCAUCUACCAUUUGCCAUACUUGUAACCCCUAUAUAUAUGGGAUGUUCCCAUAAGCAAAUUAAUCAAGCAAAUAAGAUUCUCCUUAUUUACUCUAUCUCUCUCUACUUUCUAGAUUAAACAUCUCUCUCUCUUGUUCUUCACUAUGUUCUUCAAUUUCUAACAUGGUAUCAGAGCAUCCAAGCUCUUGAACACCAAACUGCUUCCGCAAAUUUACUCUAUUCACCUUACUCUUUCACUUGUUUGGUUUACUUUCUUCAUUUCUAGAGAACAUAUCUUGGCUUCCCUUGUUUUCUCUCUUGCCUAGCCUCAGAAAUUCAAAUUUCUCCUUGGCAAAUUUUUUAUUUUUUACCCGCUGGACAAUAGCAAGCAAAGAUGGAGCAGCACAAGCUAGUUAGGAUUCCAGUCAUCCUGAAAGGUCCUAACUACAUUACCUGGUCGAGAUUGACCAGGACAGCUCUUGGAGGAAGAGGUCUAUGGGAGCACAUCACCACAAGUGAGGCCCCAAGACAAAUCACCCAAGGAGAAGAUGGCAAGGAGGUUGUAGUGGUAGAUGAAGGCAAAUGGGGUCAGGAGGAUCUCAUGGUGCUGUCUAUCUUGCAAGGCUCACUUGAUACUCCUAUCAUGGAGUCUUACUCACAUUGUGAGACUGCAAAGAAGCUAUGGGAUACCUUACACAAGGUAUAUGGCAACACUUCAAACCUCACCAGAAUUUUUGAGGUUAAGAGGGCAAUCAACAACUUACAGCAAGAGGAGAUGGACUUCACCAAGCACCUUGGGAAGUACAGCCAGCUGUGGUCUGAACUUGAGAUGCUGAGACCAAGUACCACUGAUCCUAGUACACUAGAAGAGAGGCGUGAGCAAGACAAGGUCUUUGGAUUGCUUCUCACACUCAACCCAAGCUUCAAUGAUGUACUUAAACACAUAUUGAGAGCUAAAGAGCUUCCAAGCUAUGAUGAUGAAAAAAAAAAAAAAAAAAAAAGAGAUUAAAAAGAUUCGGGCACCGAAGAUGAUACUUCAAUUCGCUCCAUUGAACAGCUCCGUCGACGAAGGUUUCUGGCACAGCUUUUCCUCUCUGAAACUCGAUAAGCUCGGAAUCGACGAUUCUCCGAUCUCCAUCACGGGUACGACCAAUUACCAAACUACCCCCCACAACAUCGAUUCCAAUAUAGAGAAGUCCAUAAUUCGAUGCAUUCACAUUGAUUUCAGCGAUCCCUUUAGGUUAGAGAACAAACAAACAAAAAAACGUUGAUACACAUUUUUGUAGAUUCAUCUUCACGAGUUUUUGAAUUGAAUAAAGUUUAAAACUUUAAUAUAUAACUCAUGUGGGGUUUGCUAUCAUCAUCCAGGUUGAAACUAUGUAUAGAUUCGUCUUCACGAGUUGGUUUUAUCUGAUUCUCGUGUAUAUGCCAUUGGAGAUUAGAAUGUGCUGAGGUAUUUUGUUUCUUUGGAUUGUGGAACUUGCAGGUUUCUAUGCACCGUGUUCUCAUCCACAAGUCUCAAACCAUCUGACUCUUCUUUCUUCAGAGUCAUUGCCUUCUUCUUCAGAUGAACAGUCAUCGACCGAGAAUACUAUUCACGGGAAUAGGAACAAGUGUCCUGUUCCAGGGACUCUCUACAACACCAACACCGUCGAAAGCUUUACUAAACUCGACAAACAAAGCUUGUUAAAAUCAGAAGCAAACAAGGUAUGUAUGAGUUUUGACUGUUGUUUUUUCCGACAGAAUAUCCAACUAAAACUGUUUGGUGAGUUUCAGAUUUGGGAAGAUAUUCAAUCGGGAAAGGCUCUCGAGGACUGUGCUUUGUUAUCUAGAUUCCUCGUUAUCUCGUUCGCUGACCUUAAGAAGUGGAGUUUCCGUUAUUGGUUUGCGUUCCCUGCACUUGUUCUUGAUCCUCCUGCAAGUUUGGUUGAAUUAAAGCCAGCUUCGGAGUAUUUUACUUCAGAAGAAGCAGAAUCAGUAUCUGCUGCGUGUAAUGAGUGGCGUGAC